RNAcentral lists this ribosomal RNA (449 nucleotides) under uncultured bacterium. RNAcentral's name for it is "bacterial SSU rRNA". It matches the Rfam family "Bacterial small subunit ribosomal RNA", at positions 29 to 524 of the family's 1533-position model. The record is from RNAcentral.
AGCGAACGCUGGCGGCAGGCUUAACACAUGCAAGUCGAACGGGCACUUCGGUGUCAGUGGCAGACGGGUGAGUAACGCGUGGGAACAUACCUCUUGGUUCGGAACAACACAGGGAAACUUGUGCUAAUACCGGAUAAGCCCUUACGGGGAAAGAUUUAUCGCCGAGAGAUUGGCCCGCGUCUGAUUAGCUAGUUGGUGUGGUAAAAGCGCACCAAGGCGACGAUCAGUAGCUGGCUGAGAGGAUGAUCAGCCACAUUGGGACUGAGACACGGCCCAAACUCCUACGGGAGGCAGCAGUGGGGAAUAUUGGACAAUGGGCGCAAGCCUGAUCCAGCCAUGCCGCGUGAGUGAUGAAGGCCCUAGGGUUGUAAAGCUCUUUUGUACGGGAAGAUAAUGACGGUACCGUAAGAAUAAGCCCCGGCUAACUUCGUGCCAGCCGCCGCCGUAAG